ACGGAGGAUGCAAGCGUUAUCCGGAUUCAUUGGGUUUAAAGGGUGCGCAGGCGGAAUGAUAAGUCAGUGGUGAAAUCAUACAGCUCAACUGUAGAACUGCCAUUGAUACUGUUGUUCUUGAGUACACUUGGAGUGGGCGGAAUGUGUCAUGUGACGGUUAAAUUCUUAUAUAUGACACAGAACACUGAUCGCAAAGGCAGCUCACUAAAUUUGAACUGGCUCUCAUGCACGAAAGCGUUGGAAUCAAACAG
Molecule: ribosomal RNA, 251 nt
Filed under: uncultured prokaryote
Description: partial 16S rRNA
Rfam family: Bacterial small subunit ribosomal RNA
Source: RNAcentral